GCGCUCUUUGUUUUCUUCCUCUGCACAUUGGUUAGCACGUCAUUGCAGAAAAAUAACAAAUAUUCAUAUAGUUUAUACUCAUGGAGCAAAUUUAAUAUAUGUUAAGGUCCUUCAAAUAACUAGUCUCUGCGACUCACUUCACCUCUCUAUCAUUUUUCGAGGGAUAACGUGGAUAUUGCAGUUUUGCUAGCGAACGUUAACGUCGUUAAGCGAGCUAGCUAAGUUUUCAAACACUCUUCAGCAUGGACUUGUAUCACGUUUUGGAGAUGAUAGGAGAGGGCUCGUUUGGACGAGUGUAUAAAGGACGUAAAAAGUUCAGUGGCCAAGUCGUGGCACUUAAGUUUAUCCCCAAGGUGGGCCGUUCUGAGAAGGAGCUGCGCAAUCUCAAAAGGGAAAUUGACAUCAUGAGGGGACUUGAACAUCCGAACAUUGUCCUGCUCUUAGACAGCUUUGAGACCGAAAGAGAGGUUGUUGUUGUGACAGAGUAUGCAGAGGGAGAGUUGUUCCAGAUCCUUGAAGAUGAUGGUAACUUACCAGAGAGCCAGGUCCGUGAUAUUGCAUGCCAGCUGGUCUCUGCCUUGUAUUAUUUGCAUUCCCAUCGGAUUCUCCACCGUGACAUGAAACCACAGAACAUUCUGCUGGGUAAAGGAGGGGUGGUGAAGCUGUGUGAUUUUGGAUUUGCUAGAGCAAUGAGUGUGUCCACCCUGGUCCUGACCUCUAUCAAGGGGACGCCCCUCUACAUGUCCCCAGAACUGGUAGAGGAGAAGCCCUACGACCACACAGCUGACCUCUGGUCUCUGGGCUGCAUCCUCUAUGAGCUCCACACGGGGGCGCCACCCUUCUACACCAACUCCAUCUUUCAGCUGGUCCAGCUCAUAGUCAGAGACCCGGUCAAGUGGCCGGACACCAUGAGCCAGACCUGCAUGACUUUCCUGAAAGGUUUGUUGACCAAAGACCCACAGAAGAGGUUGUCAUGGCCACACCUCCUAAAACACCCAUUUGUUGCUGAUGGAGUUCUAGUUCUCUCAGACCCCGUUGUGUCCAGCCCGCUAACAGUGGCCGCCAGCCCAGACCUGCAGGUGCUGAAACUCCAGCAGGCAGUACAAAAAGCAGCACCACAUGGUGGAGAGGGGAGGUUACUGCACAAGGCCAGGGAACAGAGGGACAAGAGGAACAGACAGGUGGGAAACGGAAACGGAAAAACUGAAUCAUCUAGUCGGGCACUUUCAAGGACAGCCCCUGUAGUGAAGCCCCUGUCCAGUGACAGCCUGGUGGCUCCCUCAGAUGGUUUGGAUCAAGAUCUGUCACAAUUAACCGCCAAUCUGAGCCUUACCCCAAAACAGUCUGCCAUUGAGAUUUCCACUAACAGGGGUUUCCCCCGUGUCCCCAGCAGGGGUCAGAUCAGCCGGGACUACGAACAGGAGUUCCCCUCUGUGGAGGUUGGCCCCCGACAGGCCCUGAGGCGACCUGAGACUCAGGAGCGGGGCCAGGCCAGGACCAGCCUGAGUGCUGUGAGGCUCCACAGCCAGGAUGUUGACAGUGAUGAGGAGUGGGAGAGGUUGAUCCAGCAGACCUCCGUUUCCAGCGGCCAAACCAUACAAAUCAUACCUCGAUUGAAAGAGAAGUUGCUGACAUCCAAAACCCUGCUAUUGGAUGGUAUCCUGGAGGGGGCAUGUCAGAUCCGUCAGCCACUGAAGGUCCUGUCCAACCUGAUCUUGACCUCCGACUCAGAGGACUCCCAUCGACUUAGACAGGAAGUUGGACUACCUAAUUUCCUGUUCAACCUAGUCCAGGAUAUUGUGGAGAAUCCAGUGGUCGUUAAGCAACCAUGGAGUGUGACAGUACUGGGGGAAGUUAUUGUUCUACUCUUGAACUAUUGGGAGAAGCACCGUGACUGGCAACAAGCAGAGAACAGACUGGAAGAUUACGCCAUGCCCUUUUUCAAGAUUCUUCUUCGGCCUGACCCUAACCCAUUGGCACCUCUGGCUGCAGCCAUUCUGGCCAUAUUCAGCCAGUGUGGAGUCUCUGUGGUUGUUAGCAUGGACAGGAUCACUACCCAGCUCAACAAGCUUCUCUCAGACUCCGAUGAGCCACGCGUCCCGUUACCAUCAGGCUGGGGGUUCUGUGAUGGCUUCUUGUCAUUGGUUCUCCACACCCUAAUUGAGCAUGAAAGUCCUCCACACUCUGCUUCUUUGGAUCCAAGCAUUCUGCGCCUCCUGUGGGUGAAAGUUGGUACUUCACUGGAGAAAACAUCAGCCAGAACAAAGUUCUGCUCCUCAAAUGGACUGUAUGUGUUCCUGUCCCUCGCCCUUUUUGUCCUUACCAGGGACCCGUACUGCUGUGUUCCCCUGUUCUCAGACAGCGACACAAACUGCAUACUCACCCUGGGCCACCUGCUCACCACUGAUUGUGUUUCCAGGCCGUCUGACGAGACUCACGGCCAGCUUUGGGGUUGUGACUCCAGUGUGAACAGCCUAUCGGUGUUGAGCUGCCACCUGCUGUGUUUCCCCUUUGCCCUGGACCUGUCCUCAGAGACCAUGGACAGACUACUCCAGCUGUACCACAGCGCUGGCAUUGUCUCUGGCCUGCUGCAGGUUAUCCAGUCCGUUCCUCCAUCUCUCCUGGAACUGCCUCUCUCUCUGCUAUGUCGCCUACUGCUGUGUGACCCCGGCCGCUCUGUCCCCUGCUUCACAGCCGCCGCCAGGGCCCAAGGCUUCUUCUCUCAACCCAGCAGUGACCCCAAGGAGGAUAGAAGAGACCAGGCCCCAGCCUCCAGGGUCAGGGACCAGGCUGGGCACCCAGUGUCUGUAUCUAGGACUGCCAGCUCCCUUCUCUCUGACCUGCUAAAGCCUGAAAGUGAAGCCCUGUGGGGGUCGGCCGUAGAGCUCUUCACCCUACUAUCCCAGGUUGCCCGCUGCUCCCCCAGGUCCCGACCCUCCACCCCUCAUAUCUACCUGGAUCCUGCUCCCCUGCACCAGGCCCUGGCUCACCCAGACGACAGGGUCAGAGCUGCUGCCUGUAGCCUGCUAGGUAACCUGGACCCGUUUACACCUCAUACUCCUCCCUCCACCAGUGACCCACAAUGGACCCGGCUGCAACCCGCCAUCCUCAGAGACAUAAUUGGCUGUCUCCACGACCCCUCCACGUCUGUACGGAGGAUGGCCUGCAAGGCCGUGGGCAAUUGGCUGGGGCUUAUUGGAAAGGCAGAGUUUAGAACACGGCGAGCCAAUGUGAGAGAGAACAGUAGUGCCCCUAUUACUGCCCGGGACAGGAAGAAGGGCAAGUCAGACAAGACUGUGUCCUCCCAGUCCCUGGUAGGAGACGGAGGAGACUCAUCCACAACACUCAAACAGCAAGUAGCAGACCAGGGGGGUGGGCGUGGAUGGGUCGCGGAAGCCAAUUGGGCAACAACUGAGCUACUCUCCCUCAUAGCGGACCCUGAUGCCCUGACGCGCCGCCACUGCUGCGCUGCCCUGGGCAACAUGGCUGCUGUGGAAGGGGGUGUGGCCUCACUGCUGGAGGGAGACGUGCCCCUUCUCCUCCUACAGGCCGCCUGUACCGACUCCCAGCAUACAGUCCAACAAGCGGCUGUCGCUACCCUGAGCUUAUACAGCCAACAGGAUGCACUACGACAGGCUCUGCUGUCCCUUGAUGCACGUGAGAAACUUCGUCAGGCUUCACAGCAUGUCGCACCUCCACAGUGUGACUACUGUCAGAUCAUCAAGCUGCUAUGAAGUCCAAUGCAGCGAGUGAGAGAAUAGUGUGUCUAUUUGAAAAUGACACCCUCUGGAGUGAAUACUGGGUCCAUCUCACAUGGAAUGACUGGUUGCACUUGUUUGAAAAAAUGUAUAAAUAUAUAUGCUACAGAAAGUCUUCGUCAUCUUAUCUUCAUCAUCAGGCGUCGGUGUCCGGUUGCUUGAGCCGCUGACUGCGGGCCUUGUACACUUCGAUCAGUAGGUCUUUAACAUACUGGAUCUCCCUCUCCACUGACUCUGCUUUGUCCCGAAGUUCCCGGUUAUGCCCCUCCAGACCGUGCAGCUGCUCCUCAAGGCAGUCCAGCUCUGCCCUUUUACGUUGGCGAUACCUGGUAGGGUGGGGUCAAACGGGAGAUAUAGGAUUAAUCUUAGUGAAAUCAAAGUCAAAAAGUGGCAAUGUUCUAUUUAGUUCUGUUAUCAACAAAUCAGACAACAAAAUUUGGAUAACCACAAACCUGUCAAUUUAGAGUUGAGAGAAGCACACACAACUCAGACUUUCGCUAAAAUCAUUUAUUGAUGUCAAUGGGAGACUUGUGUAGAAAUUGUGCGCAGAGCUCAAAUUUGAACACCACCUUAAGUUUUCAGCGCUUGGUUGAAUCAUCAUACCUAUGAGCGGCAGUCUUGUUUUGGUCUCUCUUCUUCUGCUUGCGCUCUGGUGGGUGGUGGACCUCCCCUGGCAUUGUUUCGUCCAGCUCAGGCUUCGCGAGGGGACAGGGGUCCUGCUUCAACCCCAACAUCACCUGCCUGUCAAGAGCCUCCCUAUCCAUUGCCAGACACUCAGAGCCCUGCUGGUCCUCUAGGAACCCACCACAGUGGAAGUCAUGAUGUUGACGGCCCAUCUCUAAACCCUCUGCCUUGACCUGCUCGCUGACCGUCCCUUGGAAGCCGUGGUGGUAGGAGGCCUCUGAUUGGGACGCUGCCUGAAGAUAACAACCCUCACUAGUCUCUGUCUUCCAAGGAAUAGUGGACAUCUUGGAAGACAACUCAUCGACUACGCCAACUUUGACAUUACUACUCAACAAUUCUAUCUCACUGCUACUAGCACAUCCUCCACCACCACAACUGACAUUCACUUCUCUCAUGCCAUACAUCAACAGCUCCUCUUUCUUGUGUGGGAUAUCCAGCGGCCCGCCAAAGCCACCAUACCCACUGCCAACAGCUAUGACCUCUUCCGCGAACUGACAAUUUUUCUCU
RNA transcript from Oncorhynchus nerka (sockeye salmon), 4949 nucleotides. It is a transcript of the gene named serine/threonine kinase 36 (fused homolog, Drosophila), with no coding region annotated. The record is from RefSeq and is a predicted model, not a curated record. The transcript is spliced from 22 exons. Lineage: Eukaryota; Metazoa; Chordata; Actinopteri; Salmoniformes; Salmonidae.